This 76-nucleotide transfer RNA is filed under the name Fusobacteriaceae bacterium. RNAcentral's name for it is "tRNA-Asn". It matches the Rfam family "tRNA". From Rfam's summary of the family: Transfer RNA (tRNA) molecules are approximately 80 nucleotides in length. Their secondary structure includes four short double-helical elements and three loops (D, anti-codon, and T loops). Lineage: Bacteria; Fusobacteriati; Fusobacteriota; Fusobacteriia; Fusobacteriales; Fusobacteriaceae. The record is from RNAcentral.
GCUUCCUUAGCUCAGUCGGUAGAGCAUGCGGCUGUUAACCGCAGUGUCGCAAGUUCGAGUCUUGCAGGAAGCGCCA